GCGAGUCCCUGCCCCUCCCGGCCUCGGUUUCCCGGGUGUGUGCGCCGAGAAUGGGACGGAGACGAGCGACGGCGGGAACCCAUCUUUCUCUUGCGCUCUGGGGUUUCUUGAACCCGGAACCUGCGAGAGAUGAGGAAAACUGAGGCUGAAGGAUGUGACUUGCCGAGCCCCCUCACCAGGGGCUGGAACCGAAGCCUGGGCUCUUUGCUCUUCACCAUUCAGCAUUUAUGUGUCGAAUCUUGACUAAACCCUUCUGCCAAAGCCUCUGCACAGCAGAGACCCAUGACUAAGACACAGCAGCCCCUGCUGGGGAAGCAGGCUCUCCUGGUCCCUUGUUUUCGGUGAUUAGGAAGUUGAGUCCUGAUGGACAAGUAGAAGUUAACUAGGCAAUGAAUCGCUGGAGAGGGUGUCUCGGCAGAAAACAACCAGCUUGUGCAAAGGUCCAGAGGCUGGGAGAACAUGUUCCGUGUACCUAGAUCACCAGGAAUAAGGGCCUGGAAGAAGAAAGAGGCUCCGGAAAGGACUGUUUGGAAUAGAAGAACUCUGGAAGCAACUUAGAUGUCAAUGGAUGAGGAACAAGCUACAUUUUGGUACAUCCGCGAAGAGGAAUACUAUACAGCUGUCAAAACGAAUAUAUGGAUAAGGAACCAUCUUCAAACCUGGGGUGCCCACAACCCCUUCCUCAGGUUUGAUCAUUUAGUAGAAGACACAGAACUUGGGGAAGUGCUUUACUUAUGAGUUUUAUUUUAAAAGAUACAACACUGAAGCAGCCAAAUAAAAGCUGUGCCUAGGGGCAAGGGAGGGUGGGGAGGGAUGCAGAGCUUCUGUGCCUUCUCUAGGUAGCCCACCCUCCCAGCACCUGUGUCCCCCAAUCCAGAACUGCUCCAAUUUCCAGACCCGCUCUCCUCCUUGGAGGAGGUGGGGAAGCUGAAAGUUCCCACUCUUGAUUGGUCUUUCUGGGGUAAGUAGGGGCUCCACCCUGAGUCACUUCAUUAGCAUGGUGUGGCUCAAAGGGGCUCAUUGCGAAUAACAAAAUUCACUCCUAUGACGCAGAACAUUGUAAGGGUUUUAGUAACUCUGUGCAGGGAACAGGGACAAAGACCAAAUCCAUACUUUUUUUUUUUUUUUAAACCACACCACAUUUGGCUGUGUAUGCUUAUAUUCUUUCUCUGGAAGGACAUAAGCUAUUAGUUUUAUUGCUUCCAGGGAAGGGGACUGGGGGUAGGAGGUGACCCUUGGUUCAAAAUUUAAAACAUACAUGUGAAUAUAUUAUCUCUUUGAAAAACAAAUGAAAAGUACUUUGUAGCCCUUGUCUUGGCUUCUAAUGCCCGCAAUCUCCCGGCUUUCUCACUUCCAUGCUUCCUGGGAGCCACUCAGAGAGUAUGCAGGGGAAUGGUGUGCAGAUCCGCUUGUCGGACACCCCGCCCCCCCACCGUGGACUUCACCAGCUUCAGUUCCAGCCACUUCCCAAACACACCCUCCCCUCCAGACUUUCCCCAGCCAGCCAUUCCCUCUACUGGUAACACCCAGGGCUCGCAUCUGAGCUCCGUUCUUAAAAAAGUUCUAAACACAUCUAGGAUUAAUGCACUCAAACCUCACAACAGGGGCGCCUGAGUGGCUCAGUUGGUUAAGCAUCUGCCUUCAGCUGAGGUCAUGAUCCCAGGGUCCUGGGAUUGAGUUCCAUUUCGGGCUCCUUGCUCUACGGGGAAUCUGGUUCUCCCUCUCCCUCUGCUGCUCCCCCUGCUCGUACUCUCUUUGAAUAAAAUCUUUAAAAAAAAAAAAAUACCUCUUCUCAUUCAACCUCAUCGACACUGUGUAGAUUUCGUCAUUCAUAGGUGAAGUCAUAGAGGGGAAACUGAGUCGGGAUGACUGGUCAUCAUUGGAAAGGGGAAUUGUUAUUACAGAGCCUGUGCUCAUGAGUCUCCAUCACUGGUACCUAACUUGGCAGACCCCCCUCUCCUGGCAUUCCCUCCCUAACCCUACCCUGGGUCAAGGAGCCAGGCCAGGGCCUAAGCACAGUCGGAGUCCUAUAGACCCGAGUUUAUUAGAGGGGCCAGGGUCAGAGUGGGU
This is a long non-coding RNA of Mirounga angustirostris (Northern elephant seal), 2070 nucleotides long. RefSeq lists it as uncharacterized. The transcript is spliced from 3 exons. NCBI's taxonomy places the organism in Eukaryota, Metazoa, Chordata, Mammalia, Carnivora, Phocidae. The record is from RefSeq and is a predicted model, not a curated record.